CAGCCUUGCACCUGUUCCAGCCUCCAGAGCUCGAGCUUGCCGUGGCUCCUCUGCCUGUCUUCAGAUGGGAAGAGCUGGGCACUGGCCUCUACCAAUCCCUCCCCACUCAGCCAUCCGUCUGAGUCCAGUGCCAUGGGCCCUGGCAUUCAGCCAUGUGUCCAGGUUCAGUGCCACGGGUCCUGGCGUCAGCAGCUCCGGCUCUGCCAGAGGCCAGUGGAGGCACCCUGGUUCCCACGCCCUCCCUGCUCCUGCCAUGCGUCCGGUCACAGCAGGUGUCGGUGGACUUCGGGGAAGGCAGGUGCAGCCUCCUGCGUUGGCUCCAUCGCCUCUGGCCAAGGCCAUGGCACACACUCUGCCCGCGUUCCUCUGCACUCCCAGGAAGGCGAUGCCCCCGGCCCCAGCCUCGGAGAAGUGGACACGAAGCCCCACUUGCUUUGUGGCCGGUUCCAUUUUAAUUUGGUCUCAACGGAGUAGAAAAUGGGAGAGAGCCGGCGCGUGCUCCAGACAGAAAUCAGCCAACGAGCCCAUGAGACCCCAAGUCACUGAAUCCCCCCACACUCUGGCGUCUCUGAACAACCCGCAAGGACGUCGGUGCCACGGCUGCUCUGGGGUCUACAGUGCACGUCCCCGUGGACCCCCGGCUCCUGCAGGUGAAACCCACCACUCCACGGUGAUACAAGAACCUUCCCACGUCCCCAUGUCUCUCUGCAUGGCCUGGGCACCAUGGCUGCCACACUCUAUGCGUGUUUUAAAACCCACAGUGCAGGCCGGGCGCAGUGGCUCAUGCCUGUAAUCCCAGCACUUUGGGAGGCCGAGGCGGGCGGAUCACAAGGUCAGGAGAUCGAGACCAUCUUGGCUAACAUGGUGAAACCCCAUCUCUACUAGAAAUACAAAAAAUUAGCUGGUGUGGUGGCGGGCGCCUGUAGUCCCAGCUACUCGGGAGGCUGAGGCAGGAGAAUGGCGUGAACCCGGGAGGUGAAGCUUGCAGUGAGCCGAGAUCGCGCCACUGCACUCCAGCCUGGGGGACAGAGCAAGACUCCGCCCCGAAAAAAAAAAAACCCACAGUGCACUGUGAAUAUUUUGUUUAAACAGUCAAUUACCUUCGACGGAUACUUCAUCCAUUUGUCAAAUCUCAGGUAUCUAAUUCACCACGCCGUGGCUGUUCCGGGGGCUCCGCGUCUGUCGUCCCACAUCUGCGCUGCUCCUGCCGGGAGGACACGCCCGUGCCCCACAGCGGGUCCGCUCACCACUGCUCUUUCAGGCAUUACCUCCGGAGACACUCGUUCCACCUUUGUCUCUGAGAGAUGUUCUUGCUGACAGGUUUCUUCUUACGACGCUGCCCUUGCGUGGGUUCACUCGCGUUGCUCCUCAGGAGAAAUGAGAGCGUGUGUUUUCCUCCGGUGACCUGGAAAGGGACCUUCUGUGGCUGGCCGGGCACUCUGGCUUCCAUGGGCCUCUGUCCCAUUUCUUCGCCUUUCAUGUCCUUGAGGCUUGUUGAGCUUCUAUCAUCUGUGAGUUCACAGUUGGCGUCAGAUUUGGAAAUUUUGGAGUCAUGAUUUUUUCAUAUCUUUUCAGUGUCUCCAUGGUCGGCUCUUCUUCAGGGACCCCCAUACGUAUUACGGUUGUGCGUGGGGUACUCUUACACUCACGGGGGUGCCGGGCCCCUGGAACCUGCAACUCACGCAGGAUGCUCUUUUAACUUACUCUAUUAUGUUUCCUGUUUUAUACGGUGCUGUAUCGUUGGCUCUGUCUUUAAGAUCAUUCACCUUUUCCUCCAUGUGUGGUCUGUGAACCCCAUCCAUUGUAGCCUUGAUUUCUAGAAGUUUGGUUUGCAUAUUUUUAAAUGGUCUAUGUUUCUACUUAGCUCUUUCAACACAGGGAAUGCAGUCAGGAUGACUGUCAGUGUCUGUCUGGCGAUUCUAACACUUGUGUUAGUUCUGACCAGGAUUUCGCAGUGGAUUUUUCCUCCCCUUACGGGUGGGUUUUCCUGCUUCCCCGAAUGUAAUCUUUGAAUCGAUGGCAGACAUUGUUAACAUCGCCUUUGUUGGGUGUGGAUGUUUGUGUUUAUGUGGAAACAUUCCUGCACCUUUUUCUGGCGUGCGGUUCAGUUACAUGGAAAAGGUUUGGCCUCUCAGGUCUUAUUUUAAAGUGGCCGUCAGGGCCGAAUGUUCUGCCCAUUUUGUCCACACUAAUUAUCCCUCUUUGGGGAGCAAGACCCUUGUGAGAUGCCACCGCCACCCUCGGGAGGCCUCCAGGCUGGGGGACGGGCACUGUGGGCUGCUGGUGUAGGGCCGGACGCUCUCUGACAGUGUUGCCCCUGGCCUCCGGCGGCUUCCUCCCAAGCUGGGUUGGGGCUCUUCUGAACGCUCCCCUCCAUGCCCUGUCCUGGGAACUUUAACCCUCUGGGCCUCCCGGAGCCCUCUGUCUCCCCUGUCCCAGGGGGUCUGCUGGGCUCCACCGGGCCCCGCCCUGAAUGCAGCCUGGAGCAACGCUGGAGGCCGGGGCUAGGAAACUGUGAGCCCCGCCUUGUCUGUGUCUUUCUCAGGGAUUCUCGUCCUUUCCAACCUGGUGCCCGAUGUCCGGAAGCACCUCUUCUGUGUUUUCAAAUGGGAGAGCGAAUCCAGUCCUUUUCACUCCAUUUUGGCCAGAAACAGAAGUCCUCCGUGAUUUAUAUUUUUACUAGAAUCUUUUAAAGGGGCACAAAUGGGGGUGUUUUGCAGGCAUACAGAAGCCCCCGUCACUCCUCCCGCCUUGUCUCUGAACCGCUGUGGGGUGGGGAGGGGUCUCUUCUCUCUCCAACCCACAUCACUUUCACCCCCCGCCGGCCAAGGCUGCGUUUCCCUCGCCCCCACCCCAGUCCCCCGCGUUGGUAGUGGGAUCGGUUUGGUAUUCUGAGGCUUCUCUCAUUUCUCCUUUAUCACCAUCUGCCCCACAGCAGGCAGGCCCGGAGCCUCUGCAGAAGGGGGAACCGGGUGCAGGCCCAACGCCGGUCUCUCAGUGUGGCAGCCUUGCGCGCGAGCAGAAGCAGAAGGCCUAGUUCCUACUCUGCAGCCUUGGCUGCCGGGCACGGAGAACGUUUUAGCAGAAACACCUCUGCAAAACCACUUCCUGGCCCGGGCCCAGCCAAACACCAUCUUCUCCUCCACCCCAGGGCUCCGCCCCCAUCUCCAGGCUCAGCCCAGCACCCCCACCCCCGAAACCCCCAGCCCCACUGCAUCUGCCCUGGCCAUCUGCCUCCGCCCUGCCUCGCUAACACAGUUAUUAAUGAGCAAUUUUCCUGUAAUUACAACGCAGUUAUGCCAGUUACCCCGACCUGCUGACAGAGAGCAUUCACUUCCAUGUGGCACUAGCCCCCAGGCCUGAGAGGACGCAAACACUUGCCCCUCAUUCGCUGCCCCCACCCCCACUCUGCCAGCCAGCACCACCCUCCACCCACUCUAGGCCCUUAAGAAAGGAGGGAAGGGCCGCGGGGAGGAGCUCUCAGAUCCCGAGGCCCCACUCCCCCUGCAAGGAAGGCUGUGAGCUCGGCCCCAGCCCACCUGCCAGCUCCCCAAACACCUCCCACCUCCCUCCGCCGCCUCCUGAAGGGACUACACUCCCCUGGCUCCUCCAAAAUCCGCUAAUGAACAGCAGGCGCAGAGGCUCCGCCACCGGCGUGCUCCUGGCCUCAGCCCUCCCUGUUCUGAAACCGCCUUUGCUAAGACGGUAGUAGUGAGGAAUCACGACAGUGGCAGAGGCCAACCUGACCCGCUCCACCUGCCUCCACCCCAACCCGCCCGGCUGCUUCCUGAGCGUGGGCCAAACUAACUUUGACAGGAACUUAGUUUACAGUUUAAGUUGGGAACAAAAAGGAUAACAGCCCCUCCCCAAAACAGAUUCCCUCCUCGCUUGGGGGGACCAGUCCCGUUGUAAAACCGACAAAUAACAGCAGGAUUAGGAAUUCCGGCUCAGGAUUCACGCAGCCAGACGCCACAGGACUCCUCCCCAGCCGCUCCUGUAUAUGACGUCACCGCCGUAAGACCACAGGACACCGCCCCAGCCGCGCCUGUAGAUGACGUCACCAUCGUAAGACCACAGGACCCUUCCCAGCCGCUCCUGUAUAUGACGUCACCGCCGUAAGACCACAAGUCACCGCCCCAGCCGCUCCUGUAGAUGACGUCACCACAGUAAGACCACAGGAUACCGCCCCAGCCGCGCCUGUAGAUGACGUCACCAUCGUAGGCCCACAGGACCCUUCCCAGCCGCUCCUGUGGAUGACGUCACCGCCGUAGGACCUAAGAUUGAUGCUGGAGAGGUUCUUCAGACCCUGCGUUCUGACGGCUCCGCUGGCACCACCCAGACGGGUAAACUAGCUCUUCCGGUCUGUGGCCCUCACAGGAACCGACUCGGUGCAGGAGGACAGCUUCAGCCCCUGUGAUUUCAUCCCCGACCAACCAGCCAGCACUCCCCACUCCCUAGCCCCCUGCCUGCCAAACUAUCUUUUAAAAAACUCCAGUUUCCAAAUUUUCAGGGAGGCUGAUUUGAGUAAUAAUAAAACUCCAGUCUCCUGCUAGCUGGCUCUGGAUGCACUAGACUCUAUUGCAAUUCUCCUGUCCUGAUAAAUCGGCUGUCAGGCAAGAAGAACCCGUUGGGUGGUUACAGUUUCAAGGCUAUAUUCAGAGAACUAUCCACUAAUAAAAUCUCUGUUUAUGCAGUAGGUCCCACCCCACACCCUCCCUGCUCAAACUGCUGCAAUCCCGGCACAGCUUUGUUGACAAUGUACCCAUCAGCCAACAAAAUGUAACAAAAUGCACUUUCUUUUAGUUAUCUCCUGCUACGUAAUAAACUUCCCCGGGAGGUGGAGGUUGCCAUGAGCCGAGAUUGCACCAUUGCACUCCAGCCUGGGCAACAAGAGCAAGACUCCGUCUCAAAAAUAAAUAAAUAAAUAAAUAAAUAAGCCUCCCCGGA
This is a long non-coding RNA of Homo sapiens (human), 4947 nucleotides long. RefSeq lists it as uncharacterized. The transcript has 2 exons. The record is from RefSeq and is a predicted model, not a curated record. NCBI's taxonomy places the organism in Eukaryota, Metazoa, Chordata, Mammalia, Primates, Hominidae.